This 632-nucleotide ribosomal RNA is filed under the name uncultured Gammaproteobacteria bacterium. RNAcentral's name for it is "partial 16S ribosomal RNA". It matches the Rfam family "Bacterial small subunit ribosomal RNA", at positions 1 to 887 of the family's 1533-position model. The record is from RNAcentral. Lineage: Bacteria; Pseudomonadati; Pseudomonadota; Gammaproteobacteria.
GUCGCAUGCUCCCGGCCGCCAUGGCGGCCGCGGGAAUUCGAUUAGAGUUUGAUCCUGGCUCAGAUUGAACGCUGGGGGCAUGCCUAACACAUGCAAGUCGAACGGCAGCACAGUAAAGAUUUCGGUCUUUAUGGGGUGGCGAGUGGCGGACGGGUGAGUAACACGUAGGAAUCUGUCCUGGAGCGUGGGAUAACCCGAGGAAACUCGGGCUAAUACCACAUGAUAUCGAGAGAUCAAAAGCAGGGGACCGAAAGGCCUUGCGCUCUGGGGUGAGCCUACGUCGGAUUAGCUAGUUGGUGGGGUAAAAGCCUACCAAGGCGACGAUCCGUAGCUGGUCUGAGAGGAUGACCAGCCACACUGGGACUGAGACACGGCCCAGACUCCUACGGGAGGCAGCAGUGGGGAAUCUUGGACAAUGGGGGAAACCCUGAUCCAGCGAUGCCGCGUGUGUGAAGAAGGCCUUCGGGUUGUAAAGCACUUUAGGUGGGGAAGAAAGGUAACGAGCGAAUAACUCGUUGCUAUGACGGUACCCGCAGAAUAAGCACCGGCUAACUCUGUGCCAGCAGCCGCGGUAAUACGAAUCACUAGUGAAUUCGCGGCCGCCUGCAGGUCGACCAUAUGGGAGAGCUCCC